This 1815-nucleotide unclassified non-coding RNA is filed under the name Leishmania donovani. Its description in RNAcentral is "gene:LdHU3.06.0680(CDS-product:deoxyuridine_triph osphatase_putative)". The record is from RNAcentral. Lineage: Eukaryota; Euglenozoa; Kinetoplastea; Trypanosomatida; Trypanosomatidae.
UUCAGAUCUCCUACUUGCUCUCUCACAAUAGAAGCAUCAAACUACUGCACUCAAAAAGGGCGAAAGAUGAUGAAGCGCGCUCGCAGCGCCAAUAUUCCAGGUGCGAUUCUGCACUCUUUGGCAGAGCUGCAGGAUGGCCUGAACGCGAUGAUCGACCCUUCCUGGCGCGCUGCUCGCUCGCUGGACAAUUGGGCUCUAGCCAUCACGAUGGAGUCCACGGAGCUGCUGGACUCCUAUCCGUGGAAGUGGUGGAAGAACGUCAACGCUACGCCUGAUUUGGCCAACGUUAGGAUUGAACUGGUCGACAUCUUUCACUUCUCCCUUUCCGGUGCUAUGCAAAUGCGCUCUACCCCGGACGAUGAGAUUCCCGCCGCUUUUCUCAAGCCUCUGAAGGAGGUCAUGACAACUUUUCUGCCGGCGAAGGAGUGCACGAGCGACCCGUACGGCUUUGUGUUCUUUCCCCUCACUGAUACGCAGAACGCCAUUGCGAGCUUUCGUAACGUCAUUCAGCUCGCAAACGCCUAUCGCUUCGAUGUCAUCAUAGAGAGCAUCAUAUACGCCGCUGAGGACCUGGGGUUCAACUUGGUGGCGUACUAUAUUGCAAAACACACUCUGAACUGCAUUCGCCAGCUGAGUGGCUACAAAGACGGCUCUUACGUGAAGGUGAACAAUGGUGUUGAGGACAAUGCACUUCUGCACGGCUGCAUCAAAGACGUCUCCCUCGAGGAAGUUCUCGACGCCGACAAGUAUGUCCAGGCGUGGAACAGCAUCAUGGCUAACGUUUACGAGGCUUUUCAGGUUAAGGAGUCUGACCGAAAGGAUGCGGAGCGCUGGUUUGCCCUCGCGAAGGAAAAUCGGCUGGCAAUCAAGGCAUAAAACUAUUCUUCCCAAAUCCUCUCAUGUGAAAGGAUCGACUUUUUUUUCUGUUUGACUACCAAGCUUCAGACAGUCAAUUUGUAGACAUGCGUUUUCUACCGACAUUCCUUUUGCGCCUUUAGGGGGGGAGCUCAUCGAGGAGGUAAGGGCUUCUUUUUUUUCUCCUCUCUUUUUUCGUCUCUUCGAUGUCUUGUUUUCGCCAUGAGCAUGGCCAUCAUCGAGGAUCUUUCUCCUGAGAGGGUCAGAGGAUCUCAUCGAUAUGGAGUGAAGAUGCUUACCGCUUUUCGUCUCUGUUUCACUCAUCCAUGCCCAUUUUCUUUGCUAUAUAUGUAUAUAUAUAUAUAUAUAUAUAUACAUAUAUAUAUAUAUAUGUAUAUAUAUGUAUGUACAUAUAUAAAGACAUAGAAUUUUAUAAAAGAAGGAGGGAAGCGAAAAGAAAAAUGAGCGAGGUAGUCGAACGACCGUGCCCUUCGCAACAACAACAGAAAAAAAACCAUGAAACUCAACACUGUGAAAAGGAGAGAUCUGAUUUUUUCGUUUUUUUUUUCGCACAAUCUUCACCCACAUGCUUGGCACGCUGGAAGGGUGUUUUCAAAACGUGUGAUUCGGUUUGGGGGAUUCUGCCUCAACGGCGUGAUCUCCCUGUCUGCGGUCACAACAUCGUGAGGGCAAACCCAACCGGAUGUUUUUCCCUCUUUUAACUACGCUAUUUCUCGCCCAAUACCUGUGCACCAGCCGAUUGCAGCUCAGACCUCACACCGGGUGUUUCAAACUCAGCAGCCCGUUGCGAGCUAACUGGAUAUCUAACAGAAAUACCUUGCAGCUGGAUUGAUUCUCAGUUUUUUCCUCACAGGAGCAGAUUCAGUGGGAAUACCUUGAAGGCUUGUUAGCUCUCCGUGCUCGGCAAACUCACAGAGUGUGGGUGAUGCUUCAAACAAC